This 397-nucleotide ribosomal RNA is filed under the name uncultured bacterium. RNAcentral's name for it is "bacterial SSU rRNA". It matches the Rfam family "Bacterial small subunit ribosomal RNA", at positions 28 to 400 of the family's 1533-position model. The record is from RNAcentral.
GACGAACGCUGGCGGCGUGCUUAACACAUGCAAGUCGAGCGAGAUCCAUCCAGUGGCAACACUGGUGAAGAUCUAGCGGCGAACGGGUGAGUAACACGUGAGCAACCUGCCCCGAAGACCGGGAUAACAGCGGGAAACCGCUGCUAAUACCGGAUGCCCUCACCGGGCCGCAUGACCUGGUGAGGAAAUGGCUGAGUCUUAAUAAACUCAGUCCGCUUCGGGAGGGGCUCGCGGGCUAUCAGCUUGUUGGUGAGGUAACGGCUCACCAAGGCUACGACGGCUAGCUGGUCUGAGAGGACGACCAGCCACACUGGGACUGAGACACGGCCCAGACUCCUACGGGAGGCAGCAGUGGGAAUCUUGCGCAAUGGGCGAAAGCCUGACGCAGCAACGCCGC